UACAGAGGGGGCAAGCGUUGUUCGGAAUUACUGGGCGUAAAGGGCGCGUAGGCGGCGUGCUAAGUCGAACGUGAAAUCCCCGGGCUCAACCCGGGAACUGCGUCCGAGACUGGCAUGCUUGAAUCCGGGAGAGGGAUGCGGAAUUCCAGGUGUAGCGGUGAAAUGCGUAGAUAUCUGGAGGAACAUCGGUGGCGAAGGCGGCAUCCUGGACCGGUAUUGACGCUGAGGCGCGAAAGCCAGGGGAGCAAACGGG
This 253-nucleotide ribosomal RNA is filed under the name uncultured bacterium. RNAcentral describes it as "partial 16S ribosomal RNA". It matches the Rfam family "Bacterial small subunit ribosomal RNA", at positions 524 to 776 of the family's 1533-position model. The record is from RNAcentral.